CUGAGCUGUUUCUACAUUUUGGCAAUUAUGAAUAAAGCUGCUAUAAACAUUAGUGUGCAGGUUUUUAUGUACACAUAAGUUUUCAGUUCAUUUGGAUGAAUAACAAUG
Long non-coding RNA from Phyllostomus discolor (pale spear-nosed bat), 108 nucleotides. RefSeq lists it as uncharacterized. The transcript is spliced from 3 exons. The record is from RefSeq and is a predicted model, not a curated record. Lineage: Eukaryota; Metazoa; Chordata; Mammalia; Chiroptera; Phyllostomidae.